UACGAAGGGGGCUAGCGUUGUUCGGAAUUACUGGGCGCAAAGCGUGCGCAGGCGGCGCGUUAAGACAGGUGUGAAAGCCCCGAGCUUAACUUGGGAAUUGCGCUUGUGACUGGCGUGCCGGAGUGUGGCAGAGGGAGGUGGAAUUCCACGUGUAGCAGUGAAAUGCGUAGAGAUGUGGAGGAACACCGAUGGCGAAGGCAGCCUCCUGGGCCAGCACUGACGCUCAUGCACGAAAGCGUGGGGAGCAAACAGG
RNAcentral lists this ribosomal RNA (253 nucleotides) under uncultured bacterium. RNAcentral's name for it is "partial 16S ribosomal RNA". It matches the Rfam family "Bacterial small subunit ribosomal RNA", at positions 524 to 776 of the family's 1533-position model. The record is from RNAcentral.